Molecule: long non-coding RNA, 3858 nt
Organism: Epinephelus fuscoguttatus (brown-marbled grouper)
Lineage: Eukaryota; Metazoa; Chordata; Actinopteri; Perciformes; Serranidae
Exons: 3
Source: RefSeq, a predicted model, not a curated record
AACUGAGGAGCAUCACACCAAAUUCUGGCCCUGUGCAUAAGCAGUCUCUGUGGCCUCUGGAAACACAGCAAUGACUCGUUAAAUCACAAUUUAUACGCCUUCCUCCUUUCCCUCCACCUCUCAAUGACAAAGUCAGCUCAAAUACUGUGUCACAAACAUUAAUAUGACUUGUUUGAAACGUGCACAUGUAACGUGUUUGGGGUUUGCAGAAAUGUACAAUGCCAUUUUCUUCUGCCGACUGAGCUGCAGUCACAAGUUUUAUGUUGUUUUUGUUUUCUUCUUUUUAAUUUUUCAGUCACAUAAAAAAAAUCAACUAACUGCUGUUUACAAAUUAGAGAAUGCUUUUACCACAAAAUUUCAACACAGUGACUUGUUUAAAUAAAAACAGAUAAAAAUAACUCUUCAGAGCUGUAGUGACCGUUGAGAACAGUGAUGUCAUGUCCUCUGUAUACUUUCGGGCAAUUUGAGGCCCAGUUUACACGACAAUGUUUCACCCGAAAACAUUUAUACGACAAAUGUAAAAAAAAAAACUCUGUGUUUACAAUUAGAACGCUGGAAGGACUGAAAACACUGUAGUAUCCAUGCCAGGCCAGUAGUCGGCGAUGCAACUUUGUAGAGGCACACCCCACGUGACCAUUACCAGUUCCUCCACAGACCGGAAGAAAUACAGCCAGCCACAAAUAAACAAAACAGAAGAUGGAGAAACACAGAACAGUAUGGAUGCUAAACAUCAGCAGCAGAAGCACAACACGGUAGUCCGCCAUUGUUACUGUUGUCGUCUGGUUCGCGCAUGGCAAUUAGAAUAAGUGUAAUGCGCAUGCACAAAGCGGCGCAUGACGUGAGCGUUCUAACUGAAAACUACGGCGUACCCGUUGACAUGGAGACGAUGGCUGUUAUGUUUGAGAAAAAUUCCACUCUGGAGGCCGUAUUCAAAAGUUUCCGUUUAAGGUCGUCUGAGGCCAUGUUUACAUGAAAACAUUCCGCUGAAAAUGGUAUUGUUUCUCAUUUUCAUUUUGAAAAAAGUUCCGCGUUCAGAUGACAAUAUUUUGAUAACAAUAGCUGUGCACAGAGAUCUGCAAAAAUGACCAAAAACGCUGCAGUAUACAUACCAGGCCAGUAGAUGGCGGUGUGACUUCGCAAUGAAACAACACACGCACGCGCGUCCUUCUACAGAGCAGUGAUGUAUAAACAAACAAAAUGGCAACCACACGAAAAUUUGUCUGGAUGGACGACGAGGUGGAGCUGCUACAGUAAAUCUACACUUUGCUGGAGAAGCGUUGAUAAAUUCAACAGGGUGAGCAGCACAAACAGAGCUUGGGAGUCCGCCAUUGAUGUUGUGAUGGUCGACUUCUCGUACGUGCCUAUACUGCAAAAACUCAAAAUCUUACCAAGAAUAUUUGUCUUAUUUCUAGACAAAAUGUCUCAUUUCUAGUCAAAACAAAUCUAUCCAUUGAGUGUUUUUUUUUCUUAUUACAAGCAAAAAAAACUUACUCCAUGGACAAAUUUUUCUACUUAUUCCAAGUGAAAAUUUGCUUGAAACAAGUGAAAAUUGUCUUAAAACAAGUUACUUUUUUGUGAUGAGUCUUAUUUUAAGUGUAAUGAGAUUGUUUUGUCUAGAAAUAAGUCAAAUAUUCUUGGUAAAAUUGUAAGUUUUUGCAGUGUAGUGACUGCAACCGUAAUGCGCAUGUAAGAAAAGUCUCCGUUUUCAGAAAUCAGACAAGACCGAAGUCAUCGUAUUUGGUCCACAGAAACAAAGAGAAAGUGUCAGCAGUCACCUCCAGUCUCUCUCUCUAAAACCUACAAAUCAGGUUAGAAAUCUCGGGGUAAUAAUGGACUCAGACUUGAACUUUAACAGCCACAUCAAAUCAAUAACAGCAGCUUUUUACCAUCUAAAAAACAUUGCCAAAAUUAAAGGUAUAGUGUCUAAACCUGACUUGGAGAGACUUAUCCAUGCAUUUGUCUCUAGUAGGUUAGACUACUGUAACGGCCUGCUCACUGACCUCUCCAAACGGGCUGUAAGACAGCUGCAGUACAUCCAGAAUGCUGCUGCUCGGGUCCUGACCAGAACCAGGAAGUACGAGCACAUUAGUCCUGUGCUCAGGUCUCUGCACUGGCUUCCUGUGGCUCAGAGAAUAGACUUUAAGCAGCUCUGCUUGUGUACAAGUCUCUCCACGGCCUAGCACCAAAGCACAUCUCUGACAUGUUAGUGCCAUAUGAACCAUCUUGGACUCUGAGGACCUCAGGGACCGGCCUCCUGCUGGUGCCCAGAGUCAGGACUAAACAUGGGGAAUCAGGAUUCCAGUUUUAUGCAGCUAAAAUCUGGAACAGUCUUUCUGAAGAUGUGAGACAGGCCUCUACUCUGACAAUGUUCAAAUCUAGGCUCAAAACAGCUCUAUUUCACUGUGCAUAUGACUGAAAGGAUCUUAUCUGCACUCUUCUCUUUUAAAGUUCAUUUUAUAAUGAUUAUUUAUGUUUUUAUUUUGUAUUGUGAUUUUAAUGCAUUUUCUUGUUCUGUAAAGCACUUUGAAUUACUUUGUGUACGAAUUGUGCUCUACAAAUAAACUUGCCUUGCCUUGCCAGAGGAACUGCAUAUUGCGAGUUUACAUGACAACGGAGACGGUGCUGUUUCCAAAAUAUUGCACUCUGGAAACCGUUUUCAAGACAUUGCGUUUUCAGGCCCCUAAAACGCCGCUGUUGUGUAAACGAUCAGCCAAAACACAACUAAAGUUUACCAUUUUCAGUUGAAAUUGUCGUCUUAUAAACGGGACCUAAAAUGCCGCUGUUGUGUAAACGAUCAGCCAAAAUGUAGCAAAACCUUUGCAUUUCAUCCUAAAACCAUUGUCGUAUAAACUGGCCCUGAGAGUUUUAUCAACCUUGUUGGGAAUAGAAUGAUUUUAUGUGUUUUACUAUCAGUUGUGUUUCACUAUAUAAGUUUUAGAUGUGUGAACAACGAGAAUACUGAGAUGAUUUCAGCUGAUCUGAAUGUGUUUGCUUUGCAGAAGUGGAGAAGUACAGGAGAGGAAGAGACAUGAAGUCUGAGGAGCACAUACUGCAAUGCUUAGAUAAUUAGUUUGAUAUAUGGUAAAAAGAAUAGAAAGUGAUGUACAGAUAGUAAGGUACAGCACGUGUAGGGAGUUGUGUUGUUCUCUUGUCUUUCAAAACAGGAACCACGCCCCCACCGCCAGCGGGAAGGAGUCAGAUUAACACGAGGCAGGGGCGUGGUGUGGUGAAGGAGGAAGUGGAACUGCCAAUGAGAAGAGGACAACGCCUUGCGUGCACAAUGACACUCUGUUACGCUCAAAUAUACUGGGUCAGGGAAAGGACAGGAGGUCAGACUUCGUGAACUGACACACCUUUGUUGUUCGUCAGGGACGUGCAGUUGAGACCCAGAGCUCUGUAAUUUUAUUCCUUUACUGCUUAAUAAACUACAUUAACUGAGACCGAAUAUCUUCUCCUAUUGCUUCAUUAAAGAACACGCAGGACUGAGCUCACACAUAGCACAUUAGAGAGUAGGAUGAGACUCUUAGUCCAACAAUUUGGUGACCCACGUGAUGAAGACGGAGAAGUGAUGGAAUAAAGAUUAUUCAGCGGAGGACGACAGUAUCGUGACAACACUUGGCCGGCCUGAGAAAAAGGGCCUCCAGUGGUGGCACCGUGACCUGCGAUCUCAACCCUAGAAAAUGACAACAACAACAACAACAACAACAACAACAAUAACCAGGUAUGCACAGACGUCCAUAAAUCCAGCUGCUUCUCGACAGGCAUAAACCGGGUCACCAGUGAAUGCAUGGACACCGUAGAUCUUGCCGUGGUACACCACUCCUCCACCAGAGUCGCCCUGUGAGAGAGAUAUUGUGU